This is a small nucleolar RNA of Theobroma cacao (cacao), 107 nucleotides long. It matches the Rfam family "Plant small nucleolar RNA R71". From Rfam's summary of the family: R71 is a member of the C/D box family of snoRNAs containing the C (UGAUGA) and D (CUGA) box motifs. Multiple nearly identical copies of this snoRNA have been identified in Arabidopsis, and it is thought to function as a 2'-O-ribose methylation guide for 18S ribosomal RNA. Lineage: Eukaryota; Viridiplantae; Streptophyta; Magnoliopsida; Malvales; Malvaceae. The record is from Rfam.
AGACCAUGGUGUGGGCAUCUCUGAAGCAAGUCCUAGUACCUCUCCUAAGCUUCGUACAAAGAUUCAGAGUUAAAUUGUGUGAAAGAUGUAAUAUCAUUCCUCAUCUU